UCAAAGCACUUUACACUACAAGUCACAUUCACGCUUUCACACACACACACACACACACACACACACACUCCCCUCACACGCUGACAACACAGUGGCAGGGGGGUUGAACCACCGACCUUCUGGUUAGUGGACGGCCUGCUCGCUUCUCUUUCAGAUAAUGGAACAACCCUUUCAACACACUGGUUAAUAAUCUUCAGCUCCAAACUUCCUGUUUUCUCCCUCUUUAAUGUUUCUCAUGAGAAUUGACACGCUCAUCUCGUAAUCCUGUGGAAUGUGUAUUAAGUGUAUUAAGUGCACACACACACACACACACACACACACACACACACACACACACACACACACACACACACACAUAUAUAACCAACCAAUCUCCAAAUGGAGAUUUCUAUAGACUUGCUUUUAUGUGAUCUUCUUUUUAUAUUGUUUUUUAUACAGAUAUGUGACCUGAAAACCGUAUUAUUGUUGGAAUGCUGACUUCAAUUGUCUGUGAUUUGUAUGUUUCUGUGAAAGCACUUUGUAAAACUACUUCUGAAAGGUGCUAUAUAAAUACAAUUAUUAUUAUUAUCGUUAUGAAUUAAAAACAUAGAGCAGCAUUAAAUGUAAAGUGCUGAUUCAGUAAAAAUGUGUAUACAUGUGAUAGAAAACAACAACAUACAAUGGGGUAAAAAGCAGCGUUAUAGGAAUGAAAUAACUCCAGAAGAGGGCGGUAAUGCAACGUAAAGGAUGCAAGCUGCCCCUUAAAAGCCCGCGGCGAAGAAGAGCUUCUGCCACGGACGGGACAAGCGCAAAUAUCGUCUUGGAGAAUUGGCGUAGUCACGUCAAAAACGGACGAAGUGAUCUGGUUAUUGGCCAACGAGAGACUUAGGAUAACGGAAGUCAUACGUAUUUAUGAAGUCGGCGGUCCAAAAAUGAUGCAUGAGUCACGUGAUGAAUACAUAACUGACGUUGCGCAAACAUCACUGGCACGUAUAGUCGACACCCCCCCGACACAUGACGCUACUCUGCUCAUUACCGACGCGUAUUAGUAGUGACGUAUGUGAAACGUGAGCCAGGGGGCGUGUCCUUUGGAUGGCGCUAGUUCACGUUUGCAGCGGGGGUGCAGGGAACCAGGCAUGCAGUCGACUCCGAGGCAAACGAGGAGUAGAGAUGGCACUACGGAACUUGCUGACCGACUGCAACCAAACGUUUCGACAUUGUGCGCCGUUAGCCACAUCGGACCACGAUGAGACGAGACGAGCGUCUUUGGCAAGCGGGCAGCAGCAUGAUCCAGAGCAGGAGCUGAAUCACAGUCACCAUAUUGUGAAGUAAGUGUUGAACCGACCAGCCCUGAACCGGUGACCAGCAGCAGUCCUUUCCACGACCAUUCAGCUUUGCCACACGCAGGAAAAGAAUCUUAGCACCCCCCAUCACAGAAAUCCCGUUCCCCUCUAUCUAAUUGACUCUCUGCCUAUUUUAAUUCGUUGAUCAUCCUCCAGCUUCAGCCUUGUUUUAGCUCAAUUUAAUGAUUAGGAACUAUACAAUAAAGAUAUUUCUUAUACAACA
Scophthalmus maximus (turbot) is the source of this 1545-nucleotide long non-coding RNA. RefSeq lists it as uncharacterized. Lineage: Eukaryota; Metazoa; Chordata; Actinopteri; Pleuronectiformes; Scophthalmidae. The record is from RefSeq and is a predicted model, not a curated record. The transcript has 2 exons.